UACAGAGGGUGCGAGCGUUGUCCGGAAUCACUGGGCGUAAAGGGCGCGUAGGUGGUUGGGUAAGCGUGUGGUGAAAGCCCGGGGCUCAACCCCGGGUCGGCCAUGCGAACUGCCCGACUGGAGCACGGUAGAGGCCAAUGGAAUUCCGGGUGUAGCGGUGGAAUGCGUAGAGAUCCGGAAGAACACCGGUGGCGAAGGCGGUUGGCUGGGCCGAGGCUGACACUGAGGCGCGACAGCGUGGGGAGCAAACAGG
Molecule: ribosomal RNA, 253 nt
Filed under: uncultured bacterium
Lineage: Bacteria
Description: partial 16S ribosomal RNA
Rfam family: Bacterial small subunit ribosomal RNA
Source: RNAcentral